GUGGUUUUCUUUGUAGUGUAUAUGAAGUGUGAGACUUGCUACUGUUUAAACAUGUCUCCUAUAUUUUUUAGGUACAACUACUUAUUUUGAAACACAUCUUCAGAGUAAAAAAAGUAAAUAAAUCCAGAGAACAUACAAAUGUCUAAUCAUUCCCAAGAUAUUAAGGAGAAUUAUUAGAAUUAAGUUGAACAAAGCAGGAGAAACAGAAAGAAAUUCACCCUUGCAUUACUGAAGAUUGUGAAACAAUGGAGUCUUUUAUCUGCCAACUUCUACUGAGUUUGCUUAGCAGGAAGCAGUAGAUGAACCCCAAUACAUCAGAAUAGCUAUGUGCAGAAUGCUGCCAUCACAGCUGACAUCAGUCACAUCACUCAAACUUCUUGAGAAACUGGUUCAAUGGUGCUUGAGAGAAAGUAUAGAAAAAAUAUAACCAAAGGAAGAUUUUUAGGAAGCCAGAAAAGCUAAAAGGGGACAGAUCAUGUGUUUGCCUUUCCCUCAGACUCUGAGGGAGCACAAAGGUAAGGAAUGAAAAAGAAUAUUUAAGCAAAGCUCCAUGUGUAUGAGCACUAUAGUAGUAUGAGCAUGAUAGCGAUGGGUUGAUGGUUGCACUUGAUGAUCUCAGAAGUCUUUUCUAACCUAUGAUUCUAUGAUUCUAUGCCUUUGGUCAGCUUGCAAUGUAAAUGUUAACAUUAUGUUAUUGAAAUAAUGUAUUUUGCUCUAGGGAAUA
Molecule: long non-coding RNA, 724 nt
Filed under: Phasianus colchicus (ring-necked pheasant)
Lineage: Eukaryota; Metazoa; Chordata; Aves; Galliformes; Phasianidae
Description: lncRNA (ENSPCLG00000020632.1)
Source: RNAcentral